This 403-nucleotide ribosomal RNA is filed under the name uncultured bacterium. RNAcentral describes it as "bacterial SSU rRNA". It matches the Rfam family "Bacterial small subunit ribosomal RNA", at positions 355 to 775 of the family's 1533-position model. The record is from RNAcentral.
UUCAGAAUCUUGCACAAUGGACGAAAGUCUGAUGCAGCCAUGCCGCGUGUGCGAAGAAGGCCUUCGGGUCGUAAAGCACUGUCAGAGGGAAAGAUCAUGACGGUACCCUCAAAGGAAGCCACGGCUAAUUACGUGCCAGCAGCCGCGGUAAUACGUAAGUGGCGAGCGUUAUCCGGAAUUACUGGGCGUAAAGCGUUCGUAGGCGGCGUGGUAAGUUGGGUUUGAAAGCCCGGGGCUCAACUCCGGACCCGGAUCCAAAACUACCAUGCUUGAGCGUAUCAGGGGGCAGUGGAAUUCCCGGUGUAGCGGUAAUAUGCGUAGAUAUCGGGAGGAACACCAGUGGCGAAGGCGACUGCCUGGGGUAUUGCUGACGCUGAGGAACGAAGGCCAGGGGAGCGAACGG